Molecule: ribosomal RNA, 538 nt
Filed under: Ralstonia insidiosa
Lineage: Bacteria; Pseudomonadati; Pseudomonadota; Betaproteobacteria; Burkholderiales; Burkholderiaceae
Description: bacterial SSU rRNA
Rfam family: Bacterial small subunit ribosomal RNA
Source: RNAcentral
CAGCAUGAUCUAGCUUGCUAGAUUGAUGGCGAGUGGCGAACGGGUGAGUAAUACAUCGGAACGUGCCCUGUAGUGGGGGAUAACUAGUCGAAAGAUUAGCUAAUACCGCAUACGACCUGAGGGUGAAAGUGGGGGACCGCAAGGCCUCAUGCUAUAGGAGCGGCCGAUGUCUGAUUAGCUAGUUGGUGGGGUAAAGGCCCACCAAGGCGACGAUCAGUAGCUGGUCUGAGAGGACGAUCAGCCACACUGGGACUGAGACACGGCCCAGACUCCUACGGGAGGCAGCAGUGGGGAAUUUUGGACAAUGGGGGCAACCCUGAUCCAGCAAUGCCGCGUGUGUGAAGAAGGCCUUCGGGUUGUAAAGCACUUUUGUCCGGAAAGAAAUCGCACUUACUAAUAUUAGGUGUGGAUGACGGUACCGGAAGAAUAAGGACCGGCUAACUACGUGCCAGCAGCCGCGGUAAUACGUAGGGUCCAAGCGUUAAUCGGAAUUACUGGGCGUAAAGCGUGCGCAGGCGGUUGUGCAAGACCGAUGUGA